This 396-nucleotide transfer-messenger RNA is filed under the name Paludibacteraceae. RNAcentral's name for it is "Enterocola sp017959385 Standard tmRNA". It matches the Rfam family "transfer-messenger RNA". Rfam says of the family: Bacterial tmRNA, also known as 10Sa RNA or SsrA, is named for its dual tRNA and mRNA-like properties. RNAcentral also lists the same sequence under 1 other name. Lineage: Bacteria; Pseudomonadati; Bacteroidota; Bacteroidia; Bacteroidales. The record is from RNAcentral.
GGGGCUGACUGGCUUUGACAGCGGGCAGAACCGACAUGUAAGCAUGCAGAGCGCUGUGGACGGGCUCUAAAAUCACGAUCCUCAAACAAUAACUGGCGAAUAUAACUUUGCUCUCGCUGCAUAACCGAAGUACAGUAGGUUAGCUUGAUUCCGGCACAAGGUGCUGGAACGGGACAUCUCCCAAAAGCCCGCGUCCUGAGGCAUUUUGAAACGGAGGUGCAGAUAAAUCGGGACUCGCCCGCCUUGGCUUCGCAGGACGGGUUAAACAACAGAAGAUAAGGACGCGGUUGGUGGUUCGGGUCUUGCCACGUCACGAAAAUGAAGUCCGGAAUAAGCAUGUAGAAAGCAUCUCGUUUCCCUGUUUGGACGAGGGUUCAAUCCCCUCCAGCUCCACAA